UCUAAAAACCUUUCUUACUUCUCUUACCACCCUACACUCCAUUCUCACACACCCUUUCCAAACAUCCAACCAUGUCGCUCACAAUUCCCACCAAUCUAUCCAAGCCUGCCGCCCUCCGCCCCAAACUAGGCUCCAAACUGCGCCCCACCAUCGUCUGCAGUGCUACUCCCAACAACAACUCCGACAACAACAACAACAUAUCCUCCGAUCUGAAGGCCUUCUCCGCCGCCCUCGCCCUCUCCUCCAUCCUGCUCUCGGCGCCGCUCCCCGCCGUCGCGGACAUCUCCGGUCUGACCCCGUGCAAGGAGUCCAAGCAGUUCGCAAAGCGCGAGAAGCAGUCGAUAAAGAAGCUGGAGUCAUCGCUGAAGCUGUACGCGCCGGACAGCGCUCCCGCCCUGGCGAUAAAGGCGUCGGUGGAGAAGACGAAGCGGCGGUUCGACAACUACGCGAAGCAGGGUCUUCUGUGCGGCGCCGACGGGCUACCGCACCUGAUCGUGAGCGGGGACCAGAGGCACUGGGGCGAGUUCAUCACUCCUGGGUUCCUAUUCCUGUACAUCGCCGGGUGGAUCGGGU
Molecule: long non-coding RNA, 573 nt
Filed under: Vigna radiata
Lineage: Eukaryota; Viridiplantae; Streptophyta; Magnoliopsida; Fabales; Fabaceae
Description: long non-coding RNA (VRAD_LNC007335)
Source: RNAcentral